Non-coding RNA from Caenorhabditis elegans, 73 nucleotides. The record is from Ensembl. Lineage: Eukaryota; Metazoa; Nematoda; Chromadorea; Rhabditida; Rhabditidae.
CAAAUUCGAAUUCCUCGCAAAAUGUGGACUUAGAAAUUAAAAACUAGAGGUUUUUAGCUCAAUUUUGAAAUUU